AGGGCGAACGCUGGCGGCAGGCUUAACACAUGCAAGUCGAGCGGGCGUAGCAAUACGUCAGCGGCAGGCGGGUGAGUAACGCGUGGGAACGUACCUUUUGGUUCGGAACAACCCAGGGAAACUUGGGCUAAUACCGGAUAAGCCCUUACGGGGAAAGAUUUAUCGCCGAAAGAUCGGCCCGCGUCUGAUUAGCUAGUUGGUGGGGUAAUGGCCCACCAAGGCGACGAUCAGUAGCUGGUCUGAGAGGAUGAUCAGCCACAUUGGGACUGAGACACGGCCCAAACUCCUACGGGAGGCAGCAGUGGGGAAUAUUGGACAAUGGGCGCAAGCCUGAUCCAGCCAUGCCGCGUGAGUGAUGAAGGCCCUAGGGUUGUAAAGCUCUUUUGUGCGGGAAGAUAAUGACGGUACCGCAAGAAUAAGCCCGGCUAACUUCGUGCCAGCAGCCGC
Molecule: ribosomal RNA, 447 nt
Filed under: uncultured bacterium
Lineage: Bacteria
Description: SSU rRNA
Rfam family: Bacterial small subunit ribosomal RNA
Source: RNAcentral